UGUGGACAUUGUUAACUCAAUGUGCUCAAGCUGUUUCAAAUUAUGAUCAAAGAACUGCCAAUGAACUGCUCAAUCAAAUCAGGCAGCAUUCUAAUCCAUCUGGGGAUGGUAAUCAAAGAUUAGCUCAUUACUUUGCUAAGGGUCUCGAGACUCGUCUUGCCGCUGGUACGCCUCUAUAUUUGCCCUUUGCAAGUAAUGAAACCUCUGCUGCUGAGAUCUUGAAAGCUUAUCAGAUGUUCAUCAAGGCGUGCCCGUUUCGGCGGAUGUCAUAUUUCUAUGGCAAUAGAACAAUUCUGAAGUUAGCCGAGAAAGUAACAACAUUGCAUAUUGUUGAUUUUGGGCUUUUGUAUG
This 351-nucleotide long non-coding RNA is filed under the name Cucumis sativus (cucumber). RNAcentral describes it as "long non-coding RNA (CSAT_LNC000354)". Lineage: Eukaryota; Viridiplantae; Streptophyta; Magnoliopsida; Cucurbitales; Cucurbitaceae. The record is from RNAcentral.